AGCAUAGUAUAGAAUGUGAGCUGCAUCAUUGUCAUUCUCUGACUCUAUUGCUCUCUGCCACAAUAUUACUUAGUCUAUAGCUCUAUACCAUAAUAUUCUCUGACUCUAUAGCUCUAUACCAUAAUAAUCAAAGAAAGAAGCUUCCACAUUAGAAACAAAUAAGACUAGUAGAUUUUCCACAUUAGAAACAAAUAAGACUAGUAGAUUACAUACUAAGUAUAGUAUAUAUUGCUAGAAACAAAUAAGACUAGUAGAUUACAUAGACUAGUAGAUUACAUAUAAAUAUAGUAUAUAUUGCAGUUCUUCGAUUCCAACUAUAUCAUUUU
This 326-nucleotide long non-coding RNA is filed under the name Musa acuminata (dwarf banana). Its description in RNAcentral is "long non-coding RNA (MACU_LNC007411)". Lineage: Eukaryota; Viridiplantae; Streptophyta; Magnoliopsida; Zingiberales; Musaceae. The record is from RNAcentral.